Molecule: ribosomal RNA, 425 nt
Filed under: uncultured bacterium
Lineage: Bacteria
Description: bacterial SSU rRNA
Rfam family: Bacterial small subunit ribosomal RNA
Source: RNAcentral
GUGGGGAAUCUUAGACAAUGGGGGCAACCCUGAUCUAGCCAUGCCGCGUGAGUGAUGAAGGCCUUAGGGUCGUAAAGCUCUUUCGCUGGGGAAGAUAAUGACGGUACCCAGUAAAGAAACCCCGGCUAACUCCGUGCCAGCAGCCGCGGUAAUACGGAGGGGGUUAGCGUUGUUCGGAAUUACUGGGCGUAAAGCGCGCGUAGGCGGAUCAGAAAGUUGGGGGUGAAAUCCCGGGGCUCAACCCUGGAAUGGCCUUCAAAACUCCUGGUCUUGAGGUCGAGAGAGGUGAGUGGAAUUCCGAGUGUAGAGGUGAAAUUCGUAGAUAUUCGGAGGAACACCAGUGGCGAAGGCGGCUCACUGGCUCGAUACUGACGCUGAGGUGCGAAAGCGUGGGGAGCAAACAGGAUUAGAAACCCUUGUAGUCC